This is a non-coding RNA of Pelobates cultripes (western spadefoot toad), 1130 nucleotides long. NCBI's taxonomy places the organism in Eukaryota, Metazoa, Chordata, Amphibia, Anura, Pelobatidae. The record is from the annotation of a GenBank genome assembly.
GCCAUCAAUUCGCUCUUACUGGAGCACCAACCCUAUCUGUUCUAGUCCAGUGUACUCACAAACCAUGUCUAGAGCAAGAUAUGAGUUGCUGCUGAGAUAUUUACAUUUUAAUGACAACACCCUCUGUCACCCCAGAGAUCAUCCCCAAUAUUAUAGGCUUCAUAAAAUAUGCCCACUGGUAGACCAUCUUCAGCACAAAUUUUCUGAAGUUAAUACUCCCCAACAAAAUGUAUCCAUUGAUGAAUCUCUAAUGAAAUAUAAAGGGAGAUUAGGAUUCAAACAAUACAUUCCUUCAAAGCGCUCUAGGUGUGGUGGAAAAUUGUACAAACUGUGUGAGAGCGAAAGUGGCUAUAUGUUUGCCUUUCGCGUAUAUGAGGGGAAAGAUGGUCAGCUGGACCCUCCUGGCUGUCCUGAAUCUCUGGGGACAAAUGGGGAAAUUGUUUGGGACCUACUGAUCUCCUUGUUAAAUAAAGGUUACCACCUUUAUGUGGACAAUUUUUAUAGCAGUGUCCGUUUGUUUAAAACUCUUUAUGGUUUGCAGACACUGGCCUGCGGCACUGUGAGAGAAUGCCAAUGAUUUCUCCAGACAUCUUAUAGAGGCCAAAUUAAAAAAAGGUGAAUGUAAAGCAUUGCGCUAAGUGCUUGCAAUAAAAUUUAAGGACAGGAAUGUUGUUAACAUGCUAACCACCAUCCAUGACGAAAGAAUGUCAGACGUCACUGUCCGAGGCAGAGUACAGAUCAAACCUGUUUGCAUCAGGGCUUAUAACAGGCACACAGGGGGCAGUGGCGUCAUCUUCCGGCGCCGGCAUCCCUAUGCGGCGAGCGAGGGAGCUGAAGAGGAAGCACUCAGGGGAGAGUGCUCCCUCGCGCGCCAGCCCGCCCGCCCAGCGGCACCACUGGACCCCAGGGAAUCCCCCCAGCACUCCAAAAGGUAAGGAGGCUGGGGGGAUUAAAUUUAAAAAAAAAUGUGUGUUAGUUUGUGUCAGUGAGUGUGUGUCUGCUAGUGAGUGUGUUUGAUGUCUGUUAGUGAGUGUUUGUUUGUCAGUGAAAGUGUAUGUUUUGUAAGUGAGUGUGUAUGUAUGUCAGUAAAUGUGUGUGUCUGUUAGCUAGUGUGUAUGCGUCUGUUCGUG